AGCCUCGUGAACUUGUGUUGUUAUGUCACCAAGCCAUACUUUUGCUAGUAUGUUUCAAUAUGCUCGGACGCAACGUCCAUUUUCUCUUUCUUCUAUCGUUAUCCUCAUAGGAAAAUCGCAUCUCCUGUUCGUGCGAAAGCGCUUGUUCCACGAAACAGGAAACAAAUGCAAAUCGUGGCUGCCCUUGCAAGAUGUGGAAGUGAGUGCACGUGUGGUUCGACAGCAAAUCCGUGUCGAAAACACGGCUGGUGCAAGUACAGCUUCAUUUGUGGCUGAAGAACACAGCCAUAUCAGACUGACAACGGGCCAAGUGAAGAGCAGGAGAGGAUAAAAUAAAAUAGAGAUGCAAGGGUCUGCUUGUAUAGAAAUAUAUUUUUAUUUCUUAUUAUUCCAAGAACAAAAAUAUGCGUAAAUAUGGAAAAGACCACAAAAAUCAAAGCUUGAACACCAAUUCAAAUGCAUAAAGUUUAGCAAGGCAAGAUUUGUUUUGUUCCUACACUUGAUUUUUUUUAUUUCUAGGCCCACUUGAAUUGGCAAAAACUCUGUGCUUGCUAGCAAGCUGUCAAACUUGAAUCUUUGACACAGUUGUUGGCUCUACCUAAAGUAGAUCAAUUACAACACUUAAUUUUGUCAGGCAAGC
Molecule: long non-coding RNA, 640 nt
Organism: Orbicella faveolata
Lineage: Eukaryota; Metazoa; Cnidaria; Anthozoa; Scleractinia; Merulinidae
Source: RefSeq, a predicted model, not a curated record